This 253-nucleotide ribosomal RNA is filed under the name uncultured bacterium. RNAcentral describes it as "partial 16S ribosomal RNA". It matches the Rfam family "Bacterial small subunit ribosomal RNA", at positions 15 to 264 of the family's 1533-position model. The record is from RNAcentral.
GAUCAUGGCUCAGGACGAACGCUGGCGGCGUGCCUAAUACAUGCAAGUAGAACGCUGAAGAGAGGAGCUUGCUCUUCUUGGAUGAGUUGCGAACGGGUGAGUAACGCGUAGGUAACCUGCCUUGUAGCGGGGGAUAACUAUUGGAAACGGUAGCUAAUACCGCAUAACGUCGCAAGACCAAAGAGGGGGGACCUUCGGGCCUCUUGCCAUCGGAUGUGCCCAGAUGGGAUUAGCUAGUAGGUGGGGUAACGGG